AAACAUCUCCAGUAAGACCCCUUCUGAAGGUUUAUGGUUCUUGAAAUUAUUUGGUUUCCAACUACCCCCUGCCUUCAGCAUUCCCCUCUUUGUUGUUCAAACAAGGCCAGCUUCGAAAGCACAUAAGGCUAUCAGAACAAGGCUGAUACGCCCAUUGAAUUCUAUUCUGUGGCUUCACCAAAGUUCAUUUUGGUCAAAAGACUGUCAGGAUGUUCUUAAGAUUCACAUCAUUUUUUAUUGCAGCUUCAGUUAAAUUAAUUACCCCUCAUGGUCUGCUUUCACAUUCACUGUUCUGAAUCCACUUUGCAUCAGUUGGUUGACCUAGCAUGGUUAACAGCCUUAUUUUAGUCUUUUCUUUAAUCAUUUGCAUUGUCACUGUUCUUCAUUAGCUUUAAUUUUCCUAAGUUCUCUCCAACACAUAAUCCAGUCAGAAAGAGCUCAAACUACAAACUCAACCGCUGCAGGGAGUUCAAAUACCGUUGACUUGAAAAGCUAUAAAAAAAUCAACAAAUGAGGCAAUCUACUUUAAGUAAGAAAUCGGAAAGAAAAC
Molecule: long non-coding RNA, 550 nt
Filed under: Phoenix dactylifera (date palm)
Lineage: Eukaryota; Viridiplantae; Streptophyta; Magnoliopsida; Arecales; Arecaceae
Description: long non-coding RNA (PDAC_LNC014478)
Source: RNAcentral